UACAGAGACUGCGAGCGUUAUUCGGAUUCACUGGGCGUAAAGGGUGCGCAGGCGGCCGUGUGUGUCAGGUGUGAAAUCUCGAGGCUUAACCUCGAAAUUGCGCCUGAAACUACACGGCUAGAGUACUGGAGAGGGAAACGGAAUUCACGGUGUAGCAGUGAAAUGCGUAGAUAUCGUGAGGAACACCAGAGGCGAAGGCGGUUUCCUGGACAGUUACUGACGCUCAGGCACGAAAGCGUGGGGAGCAAAA
RNAcentral lists this ribosomal RNA (250 nucleotides) under uncultured bacterium. RNAcentral describes it as "partial 16S ribosomal RNA". It matches the Rfam family "Bacterial small subunit ribosomal RNA", at positions 524 to 773 of the family's 1533-position model. The record is from RNAcentral.